AUAUAUGUGUUUAUAUGAUUUUCUGACAUUUAAUGCAAAAGUAUUGAUGGCCAGGCACUAUACUGUGUAUAAACAAAAAUUCCAGUUUUUCUUUUCGUGGUUGCAGCAGUUUUUCUGUACCAAUAGUGUGACAUUACACUACUCUUCACUUUCACAGGCCAUGAAAACACUAAAUAACCUUGCAACGGAUACCCUGUGGUCUACCAUUAUAAUUAUGUGUGCAUUUUGGAUCUAUUGGAUGUCUGAAUGUAAUGCUAAUCGACAUUUACUGAUGCAAAGAUUUGCAGGGACGUAGAUAUAUAUUGUGAUGUUUCACUACGAUCUUCAAGUGUUUCAGUUCGUAUUUAGCAGGAUCACAUGUUGACCAAUGACUCUUUGUUUUCUCACUGAUCCAGUAUACUCAAGAACUUGAAUAUUGUGUUUGCUGUGAGUUAUUGACAGUUCCUUGAUUUUUGCAACUCAGGAGUGAAGAUGGCCUUCCUUUGGUAGGCGUAGUGAAUGAAUUUUCUUCUAAUUCAGGCCAUGGUUGAUACCGCUCGGCGUCUGGAUCUGGCAUGGAGUGGCUACCAUGGGCCAACCAGAGCUGGGUGCCCCUGUUUCCGACCUCGAGGCGAUUAGAUUAGAGUCUGAUUAAUUAUGUAUCAUUCGGUCCUUCCUUUGGCUAUUAAUCUAUUGUGGUCUGCUUUUCAAGCUCAUACAACAUGCUUAUAUUGAAUUAAAUUUUGUAUAGAUAGCUGUAAGAUUCUAGCGAAACAUCUUCAAGCUUAAGUUGCUGAACUGAUAUAGCAUCUUGAUACCAUACAUGUAAACUAAUUUAGGAAAUUGUAUUGUUCUGAGAUAAUUUUUUAUUUGAAAACAUUACCAACAUAGGCGUGUUACCUUCACACAGGGAAGAAGUUAUUUUGUGACCUAAAGAUAUGAUCUAUGGGCCUACCUCAAUAUCUCAGGAGUUGUCCUUUCCUUGUUAACCCUGUACACUUGACAAGGCCCAUCUGUUCAAGAAGGACUGAGCAACACGAGGAACUUCGUUGACCCAGCCGUGAGCAUAUGAUGCUCUAGCGAGUCGAUGAGGACCGUCAUGGAGAUCUGCCUGCGGGGCCUGAACAAGGAACCGAUGCUGAGGCCGUUAGACGAGGACGUGCUCUAGAACCUGCAGUUUGCAGCCCUGGUGUAGGAUGACUGGAACUGCGAGGAGUCCCCGCUCUCAUCGUCACAGAUCCGUGCGCAAUCCGCAGAGUACUAACCUCUAGCCUGGCUGAGAAAAAAUAUUGGCAAGCAUUACCAUUAUGAUCCUCCAUCGAUCAUCAUUGUUGAAGGAAUUUCUGUUUCUCUUCAUAUAGGAUACAGAUAUGUGAU
This is a long non-coding RNA of Triticum dicoccoides, 1356 nucleotides long. RefSeq lists it as uncharacterized. The transcript has 4 exons. NCBI's taxonomy places the organism in Eukaryota, Viridiplantae, Streptophyta, Magnoliopsida, Poales, Poaceae. The record is from RefSeq and is a predicted model, not a curated record.